This is a long non-coding RNA of Oncorhynchus tshawytscha (Chinook salmon), 630 nucleotides long. NCBI's taxonomy places the organism in Eukaryota, Metazoa, Chordata, Actinopteri, Salmoniformes, Salmonidae. The record is from Ensembl.
AACAUAUUCACAUGACAAGAGGAUCAAGAAGCAGAAAAUCAAGGAGCAGAAAAUGAACAUGUCUUUCUUGAUAUUCUUGCAAAGGUUUCAGAGUACUCUCUUAAAUUCAUUGAGCUGGAUGAGAACUUCAAGAGAUCCAUCGAGUUCAGGAUGAUCCAGGAUUAAAGAAAGCAUGUACAUUGCAGAGAGGGAGCACAAGUAAAGCCUAGCUAGAAUGGAGCACACAUUCUUCAGUGAAAAAGAAGACCAGUGAGCUGAUGGAGAAUGUGUCCCAGGUGAUGGCCCAGGAGAUAGAGCUGAGGGGGAAGGUGGGGACCCUGGAGUAGGGCCUAGGGCUCAUGGUGGGGGAGUUUGAGAGACAGCACCAGGCCCUGGACAGCACCCAGGCCGGCCAAGUGGAGUUGGACAAGUUGCAGAAGCUGCUGGCCAUGCAGGAGAAGGAGAUGGGGCGAGUGAAGCAGCAGCCACAGCAUUGUGUAGCAAUGCACAGAGCUAGAAUGAUUCUUCCAGGAGGCCCUGGGCAAGGUGAAGCAUGAGAUCCAGGCCUGCCGGCUGCAGUACAGGCAGGAGGCCCACCGUAGGAGGAUGAGAAAGGCCUGGUCAGGCAAGCAGGAGUACUCCUGAAUCCAC